GUGUCAGCCGCCGCGGUAAUACGGAGGGAGCAAGCGUUACUCGGAAUUAUUGGGCGUAAAGGGCGCGUAGGCGAUCUGACAAGUCUGGUGUGAAAGCCCACAUGUUAACUGUGGAAGUGCAUUAGAAACUGUUGGAUUUGAGUUCAGGAGAGGAAGGCAGAAUUCCCGGUGUAGCGGUGAAAUGCGUAGAGAUCGGGAGGAAUACCAGUGGCGAAGGCGGCCUUCUGGACUGACACUGACGCUGAGGCGCGAAAGCCAGGGGAGCAAACGGGAUUAGAUACCCCAGUAGUCC
This 292-nucleotide ribosomal RNA is filed under the name uncultured bacterium. RNAcentral's name for it is "partial 16S ribosomal RNA". It matches the Rfam family "Bacterial small subunit ribosomal RNA", at positions 505 to 796 of the family's 1533-position model. The record is from RNAcentral.